RNAcentral lists this ribosomal RNA (460 nucleotides) under uncultured bacterium. RNAcentral describes it as "partial 16S ribosomal RNA". It matches the Rfam family "Bacterial small subunit ribosomal RNA", at positions 338 to 795 of the family's 1533-position model. The record is from RNAcentral.
CCUACGGGAGGCAGCAGUGAGGAAUAUUGGUCAAUGGCCGUAAGGCUGAACCAGCCAAGUCGCGUGAAGGAAGAAGGAUCUAUGGUUUGUAAACUUCUUUUAUAGGGGAAUAAAGGUAUCCACGUGUGGAUAUUUGCAUGUACCCUAUGAAUAAGCAUCGGCUAACUCCGUGCCAGCAGCCGCGGUAAUACGGAGGAUGCGAGCGUUAUCCGGAUUUAUUGGGUUUAAAGGGUGCGUAGGUUGUUUUUUAAGUCAGCGGUGAAAGUUUGUGGCUCAACCAUAAAAUUGCCGUUGAAACUGGAAGACUUGAGUGUGUUUGAGGUAGGCGGAAUUCGUGGUGUAGCGGUGAAAUGCUUAGAUAUCACGAAGAACCCCGAUUGCGAAGGCAGCUUACUAAACUGUGACUGACAUUGAUGCUCGAAAGUGUGGGUAUCAAACAGGAUUAGAUACCCGUGUAGUC